GCCCUGGUGGUCUAGCGGUAUGAUUCUUCCUUAGGGCUUUAACAAGACUUCCGAGUCUUCUCAGCCGGAUUGGAAGAGGUCCCAGGUUCGAAUCCUGGCCAGGGCC
This 106-nucleotide transfer RNA is filed under the name Colletotrichum lupini. RNAcentral's name for it is "tRNA-Pro". It matches the Rfam family "tRNA". Rfam says of the family: Transfer RNA (tRNA) molecules are approximately 80 nucleotides in length. The record is from RNAcentral. Lineage: Eukaryota; Fungi; Ascomycota; Sordariomycetes; Glomerellales; Glomerellaceae.